Molecule: ribosomal RNA, 497 nt
Filed under: uncultured bacterium
Lineage: Bacteria
Description: partial 16S ribosomal RNA
Rfam family: Bacterial small subunit ribosomal RNA
Source: RNAcentral
GAUGAACGCUGGCGGCGUGCCUAAUACAUGCAAGUCGAGCGAAAAGACGAGGAGCUUGCUCCGCUGUCGUUAGCGGCAGACGGGAGAGUAACACGUGGAUAACCUACCUAUAAGACUGGGAACACUUCGGGAAACCGGAGCAUAUACCGGAUGAUCUAUUGAACCGCAGGGUGCAAUAGUGAAAGACGGCUUUGCUGUCACUAAUAGAUGGAUCCGCGCCGCAUUAGCUAGUUGGUAGGGUAACGGCUUACCAAGGCAACGAUGCGUAGCCGACCUGAGAGGGUGGUCGCCCACACGGGAGCGGAGACGCGGUCCAGACUCCUACGGGAGGCAGCAGUAGGGAAUCGUCCGCAGUGGGCGAAAGCCUGGCAGAGCGGCGCCGCGUGAGUUAUGAAGGUCCUCGGUUCGUAAAACUCUGUUAUUAGGGAAGAACAAAUGUGUAAGUUACUAUGCACGUCUUGACGGUACCUAGUCAGAAAGCCACGGCUAACUACGUG